Molecule: ribosomal RNA, 966 nt
Filed under: Salmonella enterica subsp. enterica serovar Muenchen
Lineage: Bacteria; Pseudomonadati; Pseudomonadota; Gammaproteobacteria; Enterobacterales; Enterobacteriaceae
Description: partial 23S ribosomal RNA
Rfam family: Bacterial large subunit ribosomal RNA
Source: RNAcentral
AAUCCAUAGGUUAAUGAGGCGAACCGGGGGAACUGAAACAUCUAAGUACCCCGAGGAAAAGAAAUCAACCGAGAUUCCCCCAGUAGCGGCGAGCGAACGGGGAGGAGCCCAGAGCCUGAAUCAGCAUGUGUGUUAGUGGAAGCGUCUGGAAAGGCGCGCGAUACAGGGUGACAGCCCCGUACACAAAAGCGCAUGUGCUGUGAGCUCGAUGAGUAGGGCGGGACACGUGGUAUCCUGUCUGAAUAUGGGGGGACCAUCCUCCAAGGCUAAAUACUCCUGACUGACCGAUAGUGAACCAGUACCGUGAGGGAAAGGCGAAAAGAACCCCGGCGAGGGGAGUGAAAAAGAACCUGAAACCGUGUACGUACAAGCAGUGGGAGCACAGGUUUACCUGUGUGACUGCGUACCUUUUGUAUAAUGGGUCAGCGACUUAUAUUCUGUAGCAAGGUUAACCGUAUAGGGGAGCCGGAGGGAAACCGAGUCUUAACCGGGCGUUAAGUUGCAGGGUAUAGACCCGAAACCCGGUGAUCUAGCCAUGGGCAGGUUGAAGGUUGGGUAACACUAACUGGAGGACCGAACCGACUAAUGUUGAAAAAUUAGCGGAUGACCUGUGGCUGGGGGUGAAAGGCCAAUCAAACCGGGAGAUAGCUGGUUCUCCCCGAAAGCUAUUUAGGUAGCGCCUCGUGAACUCAUCUCCGGGGGUAGAGCACUGUUUCGGCUAGGGGGCCAUCCCGGCUUACCAACCCGAUGCAAACUGCGAAUACCGGAGAAUGUUAUCACGGGAGACACACGGCGGGUGCUAACGUCCGUCGUGAAGAGGGAAACAACCCAGACCGCCAGCUAAGGUCCCAAAGUCAUGGUUAAGUGGGAAACGAUGUGGGAAGGCCCAGACAGCCAGGAUGUUGGCUUAGAAGCAGCCAUCAUUUAAAGAAAGCGUAAUAGCUCACUGGUCGAGUCGGCCUGCGC